GUGAAUCAUCGAAUCUUUGAACGCACCUUGCGCUCCCUGGUAUUCCAUGGAGCAUGCCUGUUUGAGUGUCACGUAAUGAUCUCGUCCUCGCGAUUUGUUUUGCGAGGAGGGGGAUUUGGACCGUGCCGUCGUCGGCUCGUCCUGAAAUGCAUUAGUCUGGUCUAAAGCCGGCCCUUGGUGUGAUAACAUAUCUACGCCGCUGGUGUCGUGUCUUGCUCCUGGCUUCUAAAAUCCGCCCCCGAACGUCGUUCGGAAGGCUUACUUUAAUGCUCUGGCCUCAAAUCAGGUAGGACUACCCGCUGAACUUAAGCAUAUCAAUAAGGCGAGG
RNAcentral lists this ribosomal RNA (328 nucleotides) under uncultured fungus. RNAcentral describes it as "eukaryotic LSU rRNA". The stretch from base 1 to 71 matches the Rfam family "5.8S ribosomal RNA", at positions 84 to 154 of the family's 154-position model. Lineage: Eukaryota; Fungi. The record is from RNAcentral.